This is a long non-coding RNA of Culex pipiens pallens (northern house mosquito), 875 nucleotides long. RefSeq lists it as uncharacterized. The record is from RefSeq and is a predicted model, not a curated record. Lineage: Eukaryota; Metazoa; Arthropoda; Insecta; Diptera; Culicidae. The transcript has 2 exons.
ACAAAUUUCCGGAUACUUGAAUGGAGAAAUCAAUGAUGCAAAAUGGCGAAAUUUAAAAUUUGAACAAAUGUCAAAUACAAUUUUUAAACUGUAUAUCACAUCGAUCUAUGAAACUUUUUUUUUUUGCAAAACUACUUAGGCUCUUAUCACAAUCAUGACAGUUACCACAAAAUAGUGGUUUUACUAACCACAGAAAUUUAAAUCGACGAUUAUAAAAGUUCGCUUCUCAACCCAGCUAGCAAUCAGUUCAUCACUCACGUCACCAAUGGACGCUACACUGCGCGACCUGGCCCUACAGGUGAUCCCCGUGCUGGACGGAACCGCCGGCUCCAAGGAGCUUUUCCUGUUCACUAGCAAGUACUUUGCCAACCAGCUCGUGGGCGCCUCGAACGCCGCCCAGGAAGAACUGGGCCUCAUCAUGGCUUCUAGACUUCGUGGAACCUACGCCGUGCAGGCCGCCCAGAAAAAGUGCAAAACCCACGACGAGCUCGUAUCGAAAGUGGUUCGCUGAGGGUGUAUUUGCAAUGAAAAUCUCUCCACUUCCCAAUCCCAAAAAUGUUAGUAGUAAUGGAUCCCUCGUUGAGACUGUUCGCGCUGCAGACGAUCCCCGUCCUGGACGACUCGAACGACACCGUCGAGCUGUUCCGCUACAUCUGCCAGUACUUUAACCAACGGCUGCGGCUCAGCUCUCCCGAGUGUCGCGAAGAGCUGGCGAUUAUCGUCAUGUCAAAGUUACGCGGAAACCGCGCCCGGAAGGCGGUUCUAAUGCAGUGUAAAACCUACGAAGAAAUCGAACAAAGUCUGAGUGCGAGUGUGAUGGAUGCGUACAUUUUUAAAACUAAGCAAUAAAAAUACAUUUUUGUUUUGUUACAAUA